AUACGGAAGGCAGCAGUGAGGAAUAUUGGUCAAUGGACGCAAGUCUGAACCAGCCAUGCCGCGUGCAGGAUGACGGUCCUAUGGAUUGUAAACUGCUUUUGUACGGGAAGAAACACUCCUACGUGUAGGAACUUGACGGUACCGUAAGAAUAAGGAUCGGCUAACUCCGUGCCAGCAGCCGCGGUAAUACGGAGGAUCCAAGCGUUAUCCGGAAUCAUUGGGUUUAAAGGGUCUGUAGGCGGUCUGGUAAGUCAGUGGUGAAAGCCCAUCGCUCAACGGUGGAACGGCCAUUGAUACUGCCAGACUUGAAUUACUGGGAAGUAACUAGAAUAUGUAGUGUAGCGGUGAAAUGCUUAGAUAUUACAUGGAAUACCAAUUGCGAAGGCAGGUUACUACCAGUUGAUUGACGCUGAUGGACGAAAGCGUGGGGAGCGAACAGGAUUAGAUACCCGGGUAGUCCC
Molecule: ribosomal RNA, 461 nt
Filed under: uncultured bacterium
Lineage: Bacteria
Description: bacterial SSU rRNA
Rfam family: Bacterial small subunit ribosomal RNA
Source: RNAcentral